AGAACCUGCCAUUGUGUUGCUGAAAGGCACUUGCAACGUUGCAUAAAAAUCAGGCGUUCGUGUCACCCUCAGACUAGUCAAAGCUGCUGUUUUUUCUUUCUUUCUUUCUUUUUGAAAGAAGAAAGGAGGAAAAUAAGAAAUGUUCCCGGAAUAAGACCUUCAAAGGCAGAUAAGCGUCCCUUCUGAAAGACAUCGGAAACCGGGCAUGCAAGGAAAGCCACCAACUAAAGAGGUAUUCUAUUUGGAAGACUUGUCCAUGGCCCAGUGGGGAGAACUGCUUCCUGAAGAUCUGGAGAAGACUCGAAUCCCAGAAGCCUCCCUCCAUGUUGGAAUGUUGAGAGACCUGACUGAAGGAGCCCAUGGGUCUCUGACCUAACUCUCUCCAGCUUGUCCCUCUGGCUCUGCUCUGUCUCCUCAGUCUCACUGCUUGCAUCAGCCUGAGCUUCAGUAUAAACGUCUUUGUUACAAGGGACUCUGUGGUUGGUUUGAACAAAUUAAUAAUAAACUCAGGACCACUAAUAAUGAGCUGUCACCACAUAAAAGAGUGAAUCAAAACACUAACUUUCUC
Molecule: long non-coding RNA, 568 nt
Filed under: Mus musculus (house mouse)
Lineage: Eukaryota; Metazoa; Chordata; Mammalia; Rodentia; Muridae
Description: predicted gene, 47153
Source: RNAcentral